This 493-nucleotide long non-coding RNA is filed under the name Cricetulus griseus (Chinese hamster). RNAcentral describes it as "lncRNA (ENSCGRG00000024216.1)". Lineage: Eukaryota; Metazoa; Chordata; Mammalia; Rodentia; Cricetidae. The record is from RNAcentral.
UUACUCUCUUCUCAGUAAUCCAGAAAGACAACCUGAUUUACAUAAAUUAUGAGACUGAAGCUAUUGUGCUAGAGGCUGGAACUCUGAAUAGGAAAAGUACAUUAUUUCAUUAAAGGGCUAAUUAUUCCUCUUUCCUUUUUUUAGCACGGCUUAAGGUGAAUCUUCCUUCUGGAGGGGUGGUCCCUUUGUCAGGAUGAGGAAGAAUUGACACCGAUGUUUAUAAAUCUUUUCUGUGGUGCUGGGAAUUGAUCCUGGAGCCUCAUGCAUGCAAGAUCAGUACUAUCGAGUGCACCGGCAUCUCUCUAAGUCUCCCUGGGCUUGGUUCGUGGUGCCAGGCGGCGAGGACUCCGAGAGCGCUCUGGCCCUGGAAGGGGCUGGAAGGAGAGGAUGCCUUCGGAGGCGCGGAACCCCAAAGUAAGUCCCUUUCAUUUUGUCUGGUCAGCACCUCGCCUGCAGCCGCCCUCACAGGGUCUUGGCGGAGCGGGGACGUGGC